CCUACGGGUGGCUGCAGUGGGGAAUAUUGCACAAUGGGCGCAAGCCUGAUGCAGCCAUGCCGCGUGUGUGAAGAAGGCCUUCGGGUUGUAAAGCACUUUCAGCGGGGAGGAAGGCGUUAAGGUUAAUAACCUUGGCGAUUGACGUUACCCGCAGAAGAAGCACCGGCUAACUCCGUGCCAGCAGCCGCGGUAAUACGGAGGGUGCAAGCGUUAAUCGGAAUUACUGGGCGUAAAGCGCACGCAGGCGGUCUGUCAAGUCGGAUGUGAAAUCCCCGGGCUCAACCUGGGAACUGCAUUCGAAACUGGCAGGCUAGAGUCUUGUAGAGGGGGGUAGAAUUCCAGGUGUAGCGGUGAAAUGCGUAGAGAUCUGGAGGAAUACCGGUGGCGAAGGCGGCCCCCUGGACAAAGACUGACGCUCAGGUGCGAAAGCGUGGGGGGCAAACAGGAUUAGAUACCCGAGUAGUC
RNAcentral lists this ribosomal RNA (465 nucleotides) under uncultured Klebsiella sp. RNAcentral's name for it is "bacterial SSU rRNA". It matches the Rfam family "Bacterial small subunit ribosomal RNA", at positions 338 to 795 of the family's 1533-position model. Lineage: Bacteria; Pseudomonadati; Pseudomonadota; Gammaproteobacteria; Enterobacterales; Enterobacteriaceae. The record is from RNAcentral.